UACAGAGGUCUCAAGCGUUGUUCGGAUUCAUUGGGCGUAAAGGGUGCGUAGGCGGCGCGGUAAGUCGGGUGUGAAAUCUCGGAGCUUAGCUCCGAAACUGCAUUCGAUACUGCCGUGCUUGAGGACUGGAGAGGAGACUGGAGUUUACGGUGUAGCGGUGAAAUGCGUAGAUAUCGUAAGGAAGACCAGUGGCGAAGGCGGGUCUCUGGAACGCAACUGACGCUGAGACGCGAAAGCGUGGGGAGCAAACAGG
RNAcentral lists this ribosomal RNA (253 nucleotides) under uncultured bacterium. RNAcentral's name for it is "partial 16S ribosomal RNA". It matches the Rfam family "Bacterial small subunit ribosomal RNA", at positions 524 to 776 of the family's 1533-position model. The record is from RNAcentral.